AUGAGCAUGCAUAUUGUGGAUCAUACUUCAUCUGUUGCUUGCUCCAUGACACUUUGCACACAUGCUAGCGAUCUUGCUUCGACUUAUCAUUACCACAUUGCCAUGCGCCAUGACAUGUAUGACUUGUGUGUUGCAUCUAGUUCUCAAAAUAUGCCAUGUCCCUUUGCUUAUCACAUGCUUGACUUGAUUGCCUCACACAUGUUGAACAAUUGCUCUUUCCACUAUGUUGAGUGCCACGAUAUCUUCACUACACCCUAUGCACAUUAUGCUUGGAUUGUCUUGAACUUGCCCCAUGUGUUUAGACAUAUCAUUAUAUUUGGUGUUGUGGAUGAUACUUAUGCAUACCAUAGACCUUUUGUUGAGCACUUUGUGCAUUCUUGCUAUGACAUUGAGGUAGAUGCUUGUUCACCUCUCAAACAUAUUCGCAUCUCUACCUACCAUUUGCAUGCUUGUUCCCAUGAUGUACGUGAUUGUGCUCAAUUUAUAUGCUUAAAUGCCAUGCCACACUUCUUUGUCAAACCAUAUGCUAUGCUUGAUGACAACACUUGUUGGGUGAAUCACCUCUUGAAUGCUUGGUUUUGGUCUUACGCCGACCACAUUUGUUUUUCCAAGUGCUUGUUAUCUUUGCUCCUUUUGAAGGAAUUACAAGACGGUGCGACAUAA
Molecule: ribosomal RNA, 663 nt
Filed under: Triticum aestivum (bread wheat)
Lineage: Eukaryota; Viridiplantae; Streptophyta; Magnoliopsida; Poales; Poaceae
Description: partial small subunit ribosomal RNA
Source: RNAcentral